Long non-coding RNA from Bradysia coprophila, 170 nucleotides. RefSeq lists it as uncharacterized. NCBI's taxonomy places the organism in Eukaryota, Metazoa, Arthropoda, Insecta, Diptera, Sciaridae. The record is from RefSeq and is a predicted model, not a curated record.
GAUGGCCUCGUCGACACAGAUGAUGAAUGAUGACGAUAAUAAUGACAGCAUCGUUGAUCUGACGAAUGAUACUGUGUUGCAGGAUGAUGAAGAUGAAAAUCAAUCGGGCAGUGGAUUGGAUGCAACUGGUGCCAACAACAAUCCCGUUGAAAACGAGUUAUCAGAUUCCG